GGCGGUGUAGCUCAGCGGUAGAGCAGGAGAAUCAUAAUCUCUUGGUCCGGGGUUCGAAUCCCUGCGCCGCCACCA
RNAcentral lists this transfer RNA (75 nucleotides) under Candidatus Nitrosocosmicus sp. RNAcentral describes it as "tRNA-Met". It matches the Rfam family "tRNA". From Rfam's summary of the family: Transfer RNA (tRNA) molecules are approximately 80 nucleotides in length. Their secondary structure includes four short double-helical elements and three loops (D, anti-codon, and T loops). The record is from RNAcentral. Lineage: Archaea; Thermoproteati; Nitrososphaerota; Nitrososphaeria; Nitrososphaerales; Nitrososphaeraceae. RNAcentral also lists the same sequence under 2 other names.